Long non-coding RNA from Haliotis rubra (blacklip abalone), 211 nucleotides. RefSeq lists it as uncharacterized. The transcript has 3 exons. The record is from RefSeq and is a predicted model, not a curated record. Lineage: Eukaryota; Metazoa; Mollusca; Gastropoda; Lepetellida; Haliotidae.
UAUGAUAUAACCAAAAGAAAUUUGGUACUUCCGGAUGCUGUACUACAGAGUGGACGUCCAAGGAACGACUAUUUUGUGAAGGUGGUGGAAGACUACAUUUUCUUUCAUGUCAGGAAGCAUUUCGGAGCGUAUAAUUCUUGACUGGAUGAGUGUGCCACACGUGGAUUCCAGACGGAUAGUCAAAUGUUCAUUGUAAUAAAAGGCAGUAUAG